GCUAUUUUUAUGAUUCCCACAAAUCCACCACCAACAUUCAGAAAGCCAGAACUUUGGUCCGAUGAUUUCACCGAUUUUGUUAAAAAGUGUUUGGUGAAGAAUCCUGAGCAGAGAGCUACUGCAACACAACUUUUACAGCAUCCUUUUAUCAAGAAUGCAAAACCUGUAUCAAUAUUAAGAGACCUGAUCACAGAAGCUAUGGAGAUCAAAGCUAAAAGACAUGAGGAACAGCAACGAGAAUUGGAAGAGGAAGAAGAAAAUUCGGAUGAAGAUGAGCUGGAUUCCCACACCAUGGUGAAGACUAGUGUGGAGAGUGUGGGCACCAUGCGGGCCACAAGCACGAUGAGUGAAGGGGCCCAGACCAUGAUUGAACAUAAUAGCACCAUGUUGGAAUCCGACUUGGGGACCAUGGUGAUAAACAGUGAGGAUGAGGAAGAAGAAGAUGGAACUAUGAAAAGUAUGUGGC
Molecule: small RNA, 466 nt
Filed under: Pongo abelii (Sumatran orangutan)
Lineage: Eukaryota; Metazoa; Chordata; Mammalia; Primates; Hominidae
Description: processed transcript
Source: RNAcentral